UGGGUGGAUAGGUUCUGGUUGUGUGAUUCUAGAGCCAAAUAUAAAGAGCCAAAGGGCUUCUAGAUGAAAAUCAGCUCUGCUAGACUUAUGUUAUAUAUAUACUUAAAUUUUGUGACAACAUUUUUGACAGGUCAAAUACAGAUUGUAAUGACUGGAAAUUUACCAGUUUUGUUUUCAACUUCUUGAGCUUCCUAGGAGACCAGUUAUAUAGAACAACUAAAAGAGCAUCUCAAUUUCUAGAUGACCUCACGUUGGUGGUAGAGUCAAAAAGCCCUUCUAGAAGAGUCGGGCGGUUUCUUAACCCUGGCUGCCCAUUAGAAACACUUGGAAGCUUUUAACAAUUAUGAUGUUCUAGCCCCACCUGAACCCAAUUAAUAUAGAACACUGGGGAGUGGGGCCAGGGCAAAGGGCCCAGGGCAGUUUUAUAAGUGCCCUGGGUGAUUCUAAUUUUCAAUUAGGGUUAAAAAAAGCUAACACUGGGGUAUAACCUUUUGCUUUAACCCUUCAUCUUUUGAUCAGACUCAGAAGUGACAAUGUUAGAACAAAGAUGCUAACAGCUAACAUUUCAAAUCAAACCUUAGGCAUCAUUUAAAGCCAACGCAUCCUUAAAGACCCCAAGGGAAGGAGUAAAGAUGGAAAGAGCAAAGAUAUAUGGCUGGAGGGAUGAAAGAUCUUCUCUCCAGCAAGGCCCAACACAGCUGGCUGCCAGGUUCCAGGCAGCGGCACAGACGCACAGAUGCAGAAGGCACUUGGAGCCACAGGAAGCUUACAGUCGGGUCCUUGACCGGGUCUUCCUGUCGUCCUGCGCUCAGAUCCUUCACUGUCCUACUGCAGUUUUACAACCUAGCAGAAGGAAGUUCUUGAAAGCAUCGCUCUUUGUCCUCAGAGAGAUGAGUGAUCCUCAUCCUCAGGCAUCCUGUCUGAUGCUGACAAGCACUUGAUGACAAUGAGGAAAGCCAGCCUGAGCGGGAUGCUGAGACAUGAAGAGAAGACUAGGUAACAGAAUCUCAGAAUGAAGCUGAAGAGAAACUUCAGUUGCUUACUUUGAGAUAUAAUUGUUUUUUACUGACUGCUAAGUGAGAGAUUUUAUCUCUAACUAAGAGUUUGAGGAUGGAAGAAACUUCCUCUGCUAGCUUACUUUCAGUCUGGACCAAGGGACAACCUCUAGCAUCUCAGUGGCAUCUGAACCAACUCUGUCCACCCUUCCCAAAGAAGACUGCAUCCUUUGAGAAUAAAUUAUCACCCGGCAAUUAUGAUUUUCAAGCAUGAAAGUGAUCCCUACAGCUGGCCAAUCUGUGUGUGUAUUUCCUUCUGAGCCACAGAGUCAAUGCAGACCAGUGGCCAGAUAUCAAAACUCAUAUUUGGGAGAAAGUUAUUUUUUUGUCUCCAACUCAAGAAGAACAGGAGCUGAUGCCUGAUUUGUUCUCUGAUGCAUGCUAAAUAUCUAGACAAUUGCUUGGCAUAUAAUAGUCACUUAAAGUUUUUGUUGAAAAUAAGUAAAAUUAUAUUUAGUGUUUAUGUUGCUCUAUUUGCUGGAUCUGUAGUAUUCCAUAAACCAGAAUUUAUUUAUUCAUUUUCCCAUUUUGCAGCGUUUAAGUUCAUUCCAGUUUUUGCUAUUAUAAUUAAUGCUACUAUGAACAUCUUUGUACAUGUAUCCUUGAACAACCAGAUGAAACAUUUAAGGUGCGUGUAUGUACGUGUAUGUGUCUUUCUGUGCCUGUAGUGGUUUAUUGUAGUUACCUCAUCAAGUCAAAAUGCAGGUCCUUUCCCAUGGAAGUAUACUUAUGAAGCUCAAGCUACGUACUGACAAGAAAUUUUGAGGUACUGGCAAAUGAUCUUCAGAUAUAUAUUCCAGUUUGUUUUUAAAGAUUGGCCUUGAGCUAACAUCUGUUGACAAUCUUCCUCUUUUUGUUUUCUUCUCCCCAAACCUCCACAGUACAUAGCUGUAUAUUCUAGUUGUAGAUCCUUCUGGUUAUGCUAUGUGGGACACUGCUUCAGCAUGGCUUCAGCGUGCCAUGUCCACGCCCAGGAUCCAAACUGGUGAAACCCUGAGCGCCUAAGCUGAACGCCCAAACUUAACUGCUUGGCUGUUGGGCCAGCCCCUAUCUUCUUGCUUUAUAGAUAGUUAUUUUAUUUUGUAGACAACUUUGCUAGAUACUUCUUUCAGUUGUGGUCAAAUUUCUGGGCAUGAGGUAAGAAUGGGUUUAUCUUCCAGUCACAGUAUUUCUGUGAUCUGAGCAUCUGAACUGUUUAAUCACUGUCUCUAGGCUUAGCCAUUUCCAAGUCUUCAAGAUUUAUUCUAGAUUCAGUUGCAGUGAGAUAUAAGCUAUUUCAUACUAUCAUUCUUUGUCUUGCAUAUAGGCUGUAUAUUUCCAGGCACAAUAGGGAAGAUUAUACAAAAACAAAAUUAAAAAUAAGUUAUUAAAGGAGCACUCAAAAAUAAAUAACAAAAAAUAAUACAAAACAAUUGAACAGCUUAUAGAUUUGCCUGUUAAAAAUCAAAGUUGGUUAUAUAUUUAUAAUUAUUUGAAGAAGAAAAGAACAAAAUCAUAUGGAGGUAAAUAGAUAGAUAGAUAGAUAGAUAGAUAGAUAGAUAAAUGCACAUACAUAUAUGAUUAGAUAACCAAGUUUUGUAAACCAGUAUUUGAAAAUAAAAAGUAAAAUUCCCUUUAUACAUUUUAUUGCCAAUUAGAAUUUUUAGAUUUUUAAACAUUUUUUUAAAUUAAGGCAUAUUUACAACAUAGAGGCAAUAAAUUACAUUCUAGACAUUUAAAGGAGAAGCAAAUAGUAGGUUGGAUAUACACAUUAGCAUGCACCCAUUCAGAAGAACCAAUAAUUUAACUCUGAUGGAAUAGUAGGUUUUAUAAGUAAUAUUUCUUCUAAUUCUACUUCCCAAAUGUUAGCUAAUGUAAUGUUUUUGUUUAAUACAGGUUAAUACUUUCCAAUAUCCAUAAAUUAAAUAAUAUAUGAAAUAUAGCAUAUGCAGUGAAAUAGAAUUAAAUAUAAAAAACAUUCAGAUGAGGGCAAAGGAUCUUUAGGGAGCAAAGUCAUUGGUCUAAACUUUGAAGUUAAGUGGGACUUUAGUGUGCUGGCUUUGGGAGAGACAUUCAUAGGAUGUUUCACAGAGAAUUACUUGGGUGCUGAUUCCAUUGCCUAAGGUCCUGAUUUUAGCUGAGACAGAUGCCUCCAUCAUAGAACCUAUCUAACAGAGAGGGGGAAGGUAAAUUCUAGUUAGUUGCUGAGUGAGAAUCGGCAGAUCCGCAAGCCAAACCGGCAUAUAGAAAUUAAUAGGAAAAUAAUAAGAACACAACAUAUUUCAAAAAAAUGGCAUAAACAUAGUGGAGAGUAAAAACUUGUUCUUAAUUGCAAAAGAAAAAAAUAGUAAUUGUCCCCUACUCCCCAUUUGAGCUAGUGUCUUGCUUCUUUUUUUUUUUUUAAUAUGACUUUUAAAGUAUGGUGAUGGGAUAAGUGUCAGACAGCAAUGGAAGGAGCUAUAAGGACUAAAAGAAUAAGAUGAGCCAAGAGC
Molecule: long non-coding RNA, 3526 nt
Filed under: Equus caballus (horse)
Lineage: Eukaryota; Metazoa; Chordata; Mammalia; Perissodactyla; Equidae
Description: lncRNA (ENSECAG00000037335.3)
Source: RNAcentral